UUUUUAAUGGUCCUGUCCGAUUCUCUGCUUUAAGCCUGUAUCUAGACAGAAGCCUUGAAUGUGUUUGAGUACAGAUAAGCUGCACAACAGGCUGAGGAGUGAAGGCAUCUUCUCUUUCAUGAAAUAAACAGGUGAGAAUCUCGACACCAGGGCCUCAGUGCCUUCGCUUGCAGAGCUCAGCUCCUCUGAAUUCCCGCUGAGAUCCAAGACCUUCAGAGCGGGAUGUGUGGUCAACAGUUAUAGGUCAGGAGACUCAGAUUGUCCUUGUGUGGUGAAAACAAAGGAUUUAGUGCUUGUAACCUUUCACAGCUUCAGGUAGAAACCUGAGUCUACCUUGUAUGGCAGAUUGUUAGAUGUACACUAAAAGUCUCCUUGCAAGUCUUAUUGUGGGAUCUGAAGAUGAAAACCAUUCUCAAGCAUAAUGGGGUUAUGUAGAUUAGCUCAUUUUGUAAUAAUUAUGGAAGUUAGUUGUUCCAACUGGUAACGUUUAGAACUCAUCUGAAGGCUGUUUGAUAAUCAAACACGGUGAUAAUUUGUUGGAGAUUAAGGGAAGGAGGAGGCACACCAAAAACACCCCAUCAUUACAGCACAUCUGGUCUCCGUUCUCUUCAAAAACCAUGUCACAGCUGACUCAGGCCCUCAAAUCUGGAAGAAAGUGCAGGGGAAUUUCCACUAAUGAAUCCAACAACCACACGAUGAGGCCUCUUUGUGCAGGGACUUCAAUGGAAGCCACAUUCAGAGCAGGCACAGCGAGUCACAAUCAAAGGCACCGCCAAUCCGUUACCACGGGAGCAAAUCUGCAGCUUGUAACUGAACAGACAUCUGUUUCCAUGACAGCUGUCUGGAACGGCAUCAGCCUAACUAACUGCUGCCUCAGAACUAGUCUGACUGUUUGAUAUCUCUUGUGAUAAAGACAGAGACGAUUCUGUCAGAAACCCUCGUCACUUGUUGUUGUGAUGCGCUAAUGCGAAAAGAGAAGUUUGCAUUUGUGUUUAUUUUGUUGGUCUUUGAAGCUGCCGCAAUCAGAGGCUGCAAAAUAUUGGAAGGGAGAAGAAACGUACCCGAGAGAAGUAAACAUACGGAGCGAACUACCCCGGUGUGUUCGACGGAAGCCGCUUCAGAGCGACAAAAGGGAAGUACAAGUUAAACAACAACAUUUCUGACAUAAUGUUUAUUACAGCAAAAUUCAUUUCCACCCUCCCCUCCUUUUCUUAAACAAUCAAACAUCUGUUUUCACAGUGAGAAACUUACAGUGAAGUGAAUGGGGCCAUGUUGAGUCAGUGUAAUUUUUCAUUACAAUGUCAUAAGUGAAUAAUCUUAAAGUAAAAUGGCAGAUUUCUUUCUUGUGACCAGGGGCGUCGGACUGGGGGUAAAACCAGUACUGCUUGUGACACUAGACUUUACCAACUAUUUUGCCUAAUAUGUAAAAUUAAGUCCCGUCCCAUUUUUUUUUUUUCUUUUCAAUAAUCUAUUUCACUUGGCUAUACAUCACAAUAUGUUUUAAAUGAUCUGUCGCUACUUCCGUUACAAAAUAAAUAAAAAAAUUGGUUCCAUUUGCUUCCAUUUCAACUGCCACAAAUGCUAUACUAAUAAAACUUAACUUCACUAAACUUAAAAUAUUCCUUUUAUUAUGCCAAUAUCUCUGUAGUUCUACAUUGUUUAGACGCCUGCCUGGUGGUCUGCUGUUUGAAAGGGCAAGGCCUGCCCGCAGAGAGGGGCUUGACAAGACAGUACACCUGCUUAGGAGCUCUCCGAAACGCUCACUACACCGAGAUAUCUCCAUAGCUAAGCACUGCAUUGUCUUAUAUGCACAUCGAAAACCAAAGUCCUUGACCCAAAUAGUGCAGAUGGCCGUGCACUGAACUGCCACUUAAAUUCAGUGAGCUCAGGAGAGUCUGCUGUGUCGCCUGGCCUUCAGGCUGCCUCAGACUGUGUGCGUAUGAGACUGACUCAUCAAGCUACCAGAGAACUCAAUUUAAUACCACAGCAGGAGAUCCAUUCUCUUAAAGCUGAAGUUCCCCUUCACGUGCUCACUGAUGAGGCGGCCGUGGCUCCUCCUCACAUGUAACCAAAGUGAGCCAGUCGUGCUGGAUUUUUAAUGAUACAUUUGUCAAGCAGCUACUGAG
This is a long non-coding RNA of Cyprinus carpio carpio, 2126 nucleotides long. The record is from Ensembl. NCBI's taxonomy places the organism in Eukaryota, Metazoa, Chordata, Actinopteri, Cypriniformes, Cyprinidae.